GUUUUGAGCAUCUGUUUGAGCGCACCAUUAAAAUGUUUACAGAGUCCAUUCAUCUGGGGAUGGUAGGGAGAACUAAACAGGGGUUUACUCCACAACUCUGCCACAAUUGCUGGGUUACAGUUGCUGGGUCACCUUGUCAGACAAGAUCUCCAGAGGGAAACCUAGAUGGGCCGAAUGGUUCUUAUCUGUCGUCACAUUCUAUGUUUCUAUGUUUCUAUAAAC
Molecule: non-coding RNA, 222 nt
Organism: Pelobates cultripes (western spadefoot toad)
Lineage: Eukaryota; Metazoa; Chordata; Amphibia; Anura; Pelobatidae
Source: the annotation of a GenBank genome assembly